RNAcentral lists this ribosomal RNA (433 nucleotides) under uncultured bacterium. RNAcentral's name for it is "partial 16S ribosomal RNA". It matches the Rfam family "Bacterial small subunit ribosomal RNA", at positions 29 to 507 of the family's 1533-position model. The record is from RNAcentral.
AACGAACGCUGGCGGCAUGCCUAACACAUGCAAGUCGAACGAGACCUUCGGGUCUAGUGGCGCACGGGUGCGUAACGCGUGGGAACCUGCCCUUAGGUUCGGAAUAACUCCCCGAAAGGGGUGCUAAUACCGGAUAAUGUCUUCGGACCAAAGAUUUAUCGCCUUUGGAUGGGCCCGCGUUGGAUUAGCUAGUUGGUAGGGUAAAAGCCUACCACGGCGACGAUCCAUAGCUGGUCUGAGAGGAUGAUCAGCCACACUGGGACUGAGACACGGCCCAGACUCCUACGGGAGGCAGCAGUGGGGAAUAUUGGACAAUGGGCGAAAGGCUGAUCCAGCAAUGCCGCGUGAGUGAUGAAGGCCUUAGGGUUGUAAAGCUCUUUUACCCGGGAUGAUAAUGACAGUACCGGGAGAAUAAGCUCCGGCUAACUCCGUG